This 348-nucleotide small nuclear RNA is filed under the name Canis lupus familiaris (dog). Its description in RNAcentral is "7SK RNA". It matches the Rfam family "7SK RNA". Rfam says of the family: 7SK was discovered as an abundant small nuclear RNA in the mid-70s but a possible function has only recently been suggested. Two independent studies have found that 7SK RNA binds the CDK9/cyclin T complex (known as elongation factor P-TEFb). P-TEFb activates transcription by phosphorylating the C-terminal domain of RNA polymerase II. Lineage: Eukaryota; Metazoa; Chordata; Mammalia; Carnivora; Canidae. The record is from Rfam by way of RNAcentral. RNAcentral also lists the same sequence under 1 other name.
AAAUUUGAGGGUGACCUGGCUGUGACAAGCCACCCUACUGAUUCCCAAUGUUUUUUCAACCAAUCUUACUGGCUUGCUGGGUGUCCCCUUUCCCCUCCACACUUUGUCCUUCUUGAAGCAGAAUGCUUGGUCAAAAAAGACACUUAAAAAAUAUUAUAGAACUUUCUGUGUUGAUUUCUAUGUUGAUUUCUGUUUAGGGAAAUAUCAAAACUCUGGUUUAUCAGAAUUUAUAACUGGCACUUGGAAAUGAAUAAUAGGAACAAGAAAUCAUUUUCUUUAAAGUUCCUAAAAAAAAACCAAACACAUCUCUUUCUGGACCACCCCCCAAAUCUGUCCCCAUCAGGCUAG